Molecule: ribosomal RNA, 253 nt
Filed under: uncultured bacterium
Lineage: Bacteria
Description: partial 16S ribosomal RNA
Rfam family: Bacterial small subunit ribosomal RNA
Source: RNAcentral
UACAGAGGUCUCGAGCGUUAAUCGGAGUCACUGGGCUUAAAGGGUGCGUAGGCCGCCUCGCAAGUGCUUUGUGAAAUCCCACGGCUCAACCGUGGAAUGGCUUGGCAGACUGCGGGGCUUGAGGUCGGUAGGGGCAGCCGGAACUCUAGGUGGAGCGGUGAAAUGCGUUGAUAUCUAGAGGAACGCCAAAGGUGAAGACAGGCUGCUGGGCCGAUACUGACGCUGAGGAGCGAAAGCGUGGGGAGCGAACAGG